This 620-nucleotide ribosomal RNA is filed under the name uncultured bacterium. Its description in RNAcentral is "bacterial SSU rRNA". It matches the Rfam family "Bacterial small subunit ribosomal RNA", at positions 131 to 728 of the family's 1533-position model. The record is from RNAcentral.
CUCCAGUAGGGGAUAACACUUCGAAAGGGGUGCUAAUACCGUGUACGGUCCCGACCGUGUCUGCGGAUGGGACGAAAGGUGGCCUCUCUAUAGAAGCUGCCGCUGGGGGAUGGGCUCGCGUCCCAUUAGCUAGUUGGUAGGGUAACGGCCUACCAAGGCAACUAUGGGUAGCUGGUCUGAGAGGACGAUCAGCCACACUGGAACUGAGACACGGUCCAGACUCCUACGGGAGGCAGCAGUGGGGAAUAUUGCACAAUGGGGGAAACCCUGAUGCAGCAACGCCGCGUGCGGGAUGAAGGCUUUCGGGUCGUAAACCGCUGUCAGGGGGGAAGAAAUCGGUCCGGUGAAUAGCCGGAGUGGAUGACGGUACCCCCAGAGGAAGCCCCGGCUAACUCCGUGCCAGCAGCCGCGGUAAGACGGAGGGGGCGAGCGUUGUUCGGAAUUAUUGGGCGUAAAGCGCUCGUAGGCGGUCGAGUAAGUCGGACGUGAAAGCCCAGGGCUCAACCCUGGAAGUGCGCUCGAUACUGCACGACUUGAGUACGGGAGAGGAGAGUGGAAUUCCCAGUGUAGUGGUGAAAUGCGUAGAUAUUGGGAGGAACACCAGUGGCGAAGGCGGCUCU